Molecule: ribosomal RNA, 516 nt
Filed under: Pseudoalteromonas agarivorans
Lineage: Bacteria; Pseudomonadati; Pseudomonadota; Gammaproteobacteria; Alteromonadales; Pseudoalteromonadaceae
Description: partial 23S ribosomal RNA
Rfam family: Bacterial large subunit ribosomal RNA
Source: RNAcentral
GAACCAGUACCGUGAGGGAAAGGCGAAAAGAACCCCUGUGAGGGGAGUGAAAUAGAACCUGAAACCGUGUACGUACAAGCAGUAGGAGCCUACUUGUUAGGUGACUGCGUACCUUUUGUAUAAUGGGUCAGCGACUUAUAUUUUGUAGCGAGGUUAACCGAUUAGGGUAGCCGUAGGGAAACCGAGUCUUAACUGGGCGAAUAGUUGCAAGGUAUAGACCCGAAACCCGGUGAUCUAGCCAUGGGCAGGUUGAAGGUUGAGUAACAUCAACUGGAGGACCGAACCCACUAACGUUGAAAAGUUAGGGGAUGACCUGUGGCUAGGAGUGAAAGGCUAAUCAAACCGGGAGAUAGCUGGUUCUCCCCGAAAUCUAUUUAGGUAGAGCCUCGGACGAAUACUUACGGGGGUAGAGCACUGUUAAGGCUAGGGGGUCAUCCCGACUUACCAACCCUUUGCAAACUCCGAAUACCGUAAAGUACUAUCCGGGAGACACACGGCGGGUGCUAACGUCCGUCG